UACGUAGGGGGCAAGCGUUGUCCGGAAUCAUUGGGCGUAAAGAGCGCGUAGGCGGUCCGGUAAGUCCGCUCUGAAAGUCCGGGGCUCAACCCCGGGAGGCGGGCGGAUACUGUCGGGCUAGAGUCCGGAAGAGGCGAGUGGAAUUCCUGGUGUAGCGGUGAAAUGCGCAGAUAUCGGGAGGAACACCAAUGGCGAAGGCAGCUUGCUGGGACGGUACUGACGCUGAGGCGCGAAAGCGUGGGGAGCAAACAGA
This 253-nucleotide ribosomal RNA is filed under the name uncultured bacterium. RNAcentral describes it as "partial 16S ribosomal RNA". It matches the Rfam family "Bacterial small subunit ribosomal RNA", at positions 524 to 776 of the family's 1533-position model. The record is from RNAcentral.